AGAGUUUGAUCAUGGCUCAGAUUGAACGCUGGCGGUAGGCUUAACACAUGCAAGUCGUGCGAGAAAGUAUCUUCGGAUAUGAGUAGAGCGGCGGACGGGUGAGUAACGCGUAGGAAUCUACCUAGUAGAAGGGGAUAGCCCGGGGAAACCCGGAUUAAUACCGUAUACCUCCUUCGGGAGAAAGAAGGCCUCUCUUUGAAGCUUUCGCUACUAGAUGAGCCUGCGUAAGAUUAGCUUGUUGGUGAGGUAAAGGCUCACCAAGGCUACGAUCUUUAGCUGGUCUGAGAGGACGAUCAGCCACAUUGGGACUGAGACACGGCCCAGACUCCUACGGGAGGCAGCAGUGGGGAAUAUUGGACAAUGGGCGCAAGCCUGAUCCAGCCAUACCGCGUGUGUGAAGAAGGCCUUCGGGUUGUAAAGCACUUUAAGCAGGGAGAAAAAGUUAUAAGUUAAUACCUUAUAACCCUGAUGUUACCUGCAGAAUAAGCACCGGCUAAUUCCGUGCCAGCAGCCGCGGUAAUACGGAAGGUGCAAGCGUUAAUCGGAAUUACUGGGCGUAAAGCGCGCGUAGGUGGUUUGUUAAGUUGGAUGUGAAAGCCCUGGGCUCAACCUAGGAACUGCAUCCAAAACUAACUCACUAGAGUACGAUAGAGGGAGGUAGAAUUCAUAGUGUAGCGGUGGAAUGCGUAGAUAUUAUGAAGAAUACCAGUGGCGAAGGCGGCCUCCUGGAUCUGUAC
Molecule: ribosomal RNA, 737 nt
Filed under: uncultured bacterium
Lineage: Bacteria
Description: bacterial SSU rRNA
Rfam family: Bacterial small subunit ribosomal RNA
Source: RNAcentral